Long non-coding RNA from Ricinus communis (castor bean), 1316 nucleotides. RefSeq lists it as uncharacterized. Lineage: Eukaryota; Viridiplantae; Streptophyta; Magnoliopsida; Malpighiales; Euphorbiaceae. The transcript is spliced from 2 exons. The record is from RefSeq and is a predicted model, not a curated record.
GACCCGACCCUACCCGUCCUCAAUUCUAUUUGUAUUUAAAAAAAUGGUCUGAAUUCUGCGGGUCGGUUUGUACCAGAUCUCUAAAAAAUCUACCCGUUUCUAAAAAAACCCUAAUUGUGCAGCUAUAAAGGUUUCGCCAGCCUCCAGUCUAAAUCUUGCCCAUUUAACUUUCCAUCCUCUUCUCCAUCAUCAUCUCUCUGCUUUUGCGUUUAAUCUUCUUAUUUAAUUGUCCUGAUUUAAUUAUUCAUGAAUUUGGUUAUUUUCUUAAUUAAUAUUUUUUAAUCGAGAAAAUCAGUGAGCAUCUGCCUAUGAUUCUUUGUAGCUGUUGUUGCCAUAGCUCAAAGAAUACGAAGCGAUGCAAAAUCAGAAAAGGGUACUUCUGGACAAGCAGAUUUCAAUAAUGAAUUCUUGCUUUUUCUCUGUAUAAUUCAGUUAGAAGGGUUUGGUGCAAUAGAAGGAGGAGGAGAGUUGUUUGGGGCAGAGGCAUUCGAGAAUAGGAGUUUGAAGAAUUUUUGAGCAAGCACUUGAUUUGCUGCAUCAGAUGGGUGAAAUGCAUCCCAGAAAACAUAUUCUUUACGAUUCUUGCAUAGUUUUGAAUUGGGCAAGCAUAAUCCUCCUAUUGAUGUGUCCACAUUGCAACAUGAUGUGUUUGACACCUUGAAACCUGGCAGAAUUAAAAAUAAUCCUUAAAAGUCAGUUUUUUUUUUUUGUUCCACUAGAACUUGACUUUGAGGUUUAAUUGUCAUCAAAUUCCUGGAGCAUGAAUUUACCAUAAGCGGUAGGGUUGUCUAUCAGAUCCAGAACAUCUCCAUAAGUGUCUGCAAAUAAGAAUCUGGCAUUACGAAGUUGGUGGUUUAGAGUGGCAAGUUGGUUUUGUACUCUGGAGUUGAAUUCCAACACCCAUUCGUUCACUCUUUUCAAGCACUCCCCCUUCUUUGAUUUCACUCUCUGAGAAGGGAUGCAGCCUAGAGGACCUAAUCCGUGGAAUACUAUCUUUCUUGCACCCAGUUGGUAUAGUCUCUGCAAUAAGCAAAAUUAAUGAAUGUUGUGCUGGCAAAAAGAUUAAAAAAAAAAAAAAGUGUUUUGACGGAGAACUUUUAACUGUAAGUUGUUGUUUUAGUGUGGAUAUUAAGAGCUCCACAAAUUCAUCGUGUGUGUAUUGUUGGCCAUCUGCUAAAAAGGGCUGCAAGUAGUUGUUUACAUAGUCAUUGCUGCCUGUAAAUAGAAGACACCCAAAAAUAAAAUGGUUAUGGAGCUGAAUAUGAUAAAAAUACUUGAGAAGAGUAAUUUCAUGGUAGCCCACCAAUUCCAAUGAA